This 253-nucleotide ribosomal RNA is filed under the name uncultured bacterium. RNAcentral describes it as "partial 16S ribosomal RNA". It matches the Rfam family "Bacterial small subunit ribosomal RNA", at positions 98 to 353 of the family's 1533-position model. The record is from RNAcentral.
GCGGACGGGUGNGUAAUGUCUGGGAAACUGCCUGAUGAGGGGGAUAACUACUGGAAACGGUAGCUAAUACCGCAUAACGUCGCAAGACCAAAGAGGGGGACCUUCGGGCCUCUUGCCAUCGGAUGUGCCCAGAUGGGAUUAGCUAGUAGGUGGGGUAACGGCUCACCUAGGCGACGAUCCCUAGCUGGUCUGAGAGGAUGACCAGCCACACUGGAACUGAGACACGGUCCAGACUCCUACGGGAGGCAGCAUG